RNAcentral lists this transfer RNA (93 nucleotides) under Lederbergia citri. RNAcentral describes it as "tRNA-Ser". It matches the Rfam family "tRNA". From Rfam's summary of the family: Transfer RNA (tRNA) molecules are approximately 80 nucleotides in length. Their secondary structure includes four short double-helical elements and three loops (D, anti-codon, and T loops). Lineage: Bacteria; Bacillati; Bacillota; Bacilli; Caryophanales; Bacillaceae. The record is from RNAcentral.
GGAGAAGUACCCAAGUCUGGCUGAAGGGGACGCACUCGAAAUGCGUUAGGGCGGGCAACUGCCGCGUGGGUUCGAAUCCCACCUUCUCCGCCA